GCAAUCUUUAAGACAAUGAGAUUGGUUUUACAAAGGAAUGACAUUCAAGAAUAAGGAAGAACUAGUCAAUUCAUUGAAUAUUUCUUGGUUGAAAAAAUAUCUUCAACUAAAGAAGGUGAUUAAUUCACAAAAUAUACAUUUUUUUAGAUGUGCUCAUCUAGAUUGCAAGUGAUGGCUGAGAGCUCUAAAAUUCAUAAGUUCUGAUAGAUUCGACAUUAGAAAUUAUGAAAAGUAUCACACAUGUAGUUCAGAGGAUAUUACGAGCCAUAAUCCACAUGCCAUGACAAAGGUCAUCAGUAAAUACUUUGAAAAAAGAUUCUCCAAUGGAAAGAUCCUUCUACAAUAGAUAUGGCCAAUGAAAUCCGUACAUAAUUAGCUUGUAAGGUGAGAUAUUGAAAUAUUUAUAAGAUCAUAGAUAUUGCAAAGUAUCUAGUUAGGGGAACACACGAGCAUGGGUAUAUCGUACUUGAUGUCUAUCGUUACAUACUUAAGUCCACAAAUCCCGUAAGUAAGAUGACAUUGCAGGUUGAAGGAAAUAAAAGGUUCAAGUACUUUUUUGUAGCCUAUGGUCCUUGGAUUCUUUGUCUUCAAAAUUUUAGAAAAGCCAUAGCCAUUGACAGGAUAUUUUUGAGGAGCAAGUACGAAGGAGUUUUGUUAUCAACAAUGGUACAGGAUGCAGAUAAUCACAUCUUUCUGAUGGCUUUUCAUGCAGUCGACAAGGAAUGUGAUGACUCAUAUCGAUAUUUUUUUAAACAAAUGAGAAGUUGUGUAGAUGAUACGGACUAGUUAUGUAUAAUUUUGGAUAGGCAUCCAAGUAUCCAAAAGAUGGUGUCAAUUGUCCCUUUAGCUCACUAUGGUUGUUACAUGAGGAACCUUGGGGAAAAUAUUUAAAACAACUAUCACAACUCAAAGGUCAUCACUCAUUUUUAUAAAUCAACUAAAGCGUAUGAUAGAGCUGAAUUCUUAGACUAUUUUAAUCAAAAAGGGAUAUUGUACCUAAGGCAGUAGAACAUCUCAAACACAUCAGAUUCGAGAGGUGGAGCCAUGCAUUUUAUUAGGAAAUAGGUACAUUAUUCAUAAAUUUAAUGUCUUGUUUAAGUUUAUUGUAAUACUAUGUCAUACUAAGUGAUUCUUUUGUAUAGGUAUAAUAUUAUAAUGUCAAACAUAGCUAAACCGAUGAAUACAAUGUUUGACGCUAAAAGAGAAUUUCUCAUUGUGGCACUAUUUGAUGAAAUUAAUGUAAGGUUUGCCAAAUUAUUUCAUGAGAGGCCAUGGAGUUGGUGAACUCAUCAAUCAUGCUUGUGUCUUCAAUGGAAAAAAAAUAUCAAUGUACCUCACAAUGGGGAAUAAGUUACUGACCCAUCAAAUAGCCAAUUACAAGUUCAGUAUCAACAGUUAUGGUGAUGUUACCACUAUCGAUUGUCAAAGAAGAACUUGUACAUGUAAAUUUUUUGACUUAGACAAAAUACCUUGUCCACAUGCUAUGGCAGUUCUUCGAGCCUAAUAUGGUGCAUAAUUUGGAAAUUAAAUUUAUAACAACUCAUCUCCAUAUUAUUUAGUGGAAAAACACAUAAUCAUAUAUUGUGAGAAUAUUAAUCCGAUGCCUCCUGAAGAUUCUUGGGUUGUUCCUAUAGAGAUUUUGGAGAGAGAAAUACCUCCUCCAUAUAUGGACCCAAGUAGUACCAAAUUAAGAAGAAUGCAGUAUAAGAGGAAAUGAAGAG
This 1721-nucleotide long non-coding RNA is filed under the name Capsicum annuum. Its description in RNAcentral is "long non-coding RNA (CANN_LNC011124)". Lineage: Eukaryota; Viridiplantae; Streptophyta; Magnoliopsida; Solanales; Solanaceae. The record is from RNAcentral.